RNAcentral lists this ribosomal RNA (136 nucleotides) under Periophthalmus magnuspinnatus. Lineage: Eukaryota; Metazoa; Chordata; Actinopteri; Gobiiformes; Gobiidae. The record is from RNAcentral.
AUUUUUUGUCUGACUGUGUCCAAACCUGAUCUCAUCAUAUCUCAGAAGCUACGGAGGGCAGGGCCUGGUUAGUACUUGGAUGGGAAACUGGUGGGAAAUACCAUCUACUGCAGUGAGCGACCAGCGGCAAAAACUG